CCUACGGGUGGCAGCAGUGGGGGAUAUUGGACAAUGGAGGGAACUCUGAUGCAGCAACGCCGCGUGAAGGAUGAAGGUUUUCGGAUUGUAAACUUCUGUCACGAGGGAUGAGGAGAGAACGUUACUCGUAGGAUAACCCACGGAUAAGACGUUGCAGCCACCGCGGUAAUAAGUAGGGGGCCAGCGUUGUUCCGAAUUACUGGGCGGAAAGGGAGGGUAGGCGGGAUAGUAAGUUAGGUGUGAAAGCCCGCGGCUCAACCGCGGAAUUGCAAAUGAAACUGGUAGGCUUGAGUUUAGGAGAGGCAAGUGGAAUUCCCGGUGUAGCGGUGGAAUGCGUAGAUAUUGGGAGGAACACCAGUGGCGAAGGCGACCUACUGGACGAUAACUGACGCUGAGGCGCGAAAGCGUGGGGAGCAAACAGGAUUAGAUACCCCAGUAGUC
RNAcentral lists this ribosomal RNA (441 nucleotides) under uncultured bacterium. RNAcentral describes it as "partial 16S ribosomal RNA". It matches the Rfam family "Bacterial small subunit ribosomal RNA", at positions 338 to 795 of the family's 1533-position model. The record is from RNAcentral.